RNAcentral lists this ribosomal RNA (778 nucleotides) under uncultured Neocallimastigales. RNAcentral's name for it is "partial large subunit ribosomal RNA". It matches the Rfam family "Eukaryotic large subunit ribosomal RNA", at positions 24 to 614 of the family's 3401-position model. Lineage: Eukaryota; Fungi; Neocallimastigomycota; Neocallimastigomycetes; Neocallimastigales. The record is from RNAcentral.
UUAUCUCUGUAGAGUCUGCAUAUCAAUAAGCGGAGGAAAAGAAACUAACUAGGAUUCCCUCAGUAACGGCGAGUGAAGCGGGAAGAGCUCAAAUUUGAAAUCUUCAAGGUUUUACCUUGACGAAUUGUAGUUUAAUAGAAGUGUUUUCUGUUGGAGUUUUGGUAAAAGUUCUUUGGAAUAGGACAUCAUAGAGGGUGAGAAUCCCGUAUUUGACCAUUACUUUCCAGCUGUGUGAUACACUUUCAAAGAGUCGGAUUGUUUGGGAAUGCAGUCCAAAAUGGGUGGUAAAUUUCAUCUAAAGCUAAAUAUUGGCGAGAGACCGAUAGCGAACAAGUACCGUGAGGGAAAGAUGAAAAGAACUUUGAAAAGAGAGUUAAACAGUACGUGAAAUUGUCAAAAGGGAAGCGUUUGACACCAGUGUUGUUUUCUCGAAAAUCAAUUAAAAAUGGCGGGAUUUUGUGUUGUAUUGACUUUAUCAGCUUUCUGCACUCUUUUCCUGUCUUUUUUAAUGCACUUUUCGUUUAACAAGUCAACAUCAGUUUCUUUUGUUGUAAAAGAGUCAUUGGAAGGUGGCUUUCUUUUCGGAGAAAGUGUUUAUAGCCUUUGACUUCUGCAAUCGGAGAGAUUGAGGUCUGCAGCGUAGAUCCUUCUGGAUUAGAUACAUUUGUGCUAAGUUAUAACCGUUUCAUAGACAACUUGUUGACUAUAUCGAUCAUGUAGCUUACUCGCUUAUGCUAAUUUUACCUACGCUUAGGAUGUUGAGUCAUCACACAUCUCU